RNAcentral lists this RNase P RNA (349 nucleotides) under Betaproteobacteria bacterium. Its description in RNAcentral is "RNase P RNA component class A". It matches the Rfam family "Bacterial RNase P class A". Rfam says of the family: Ribonuclease P (RNase P) is a ubiquitous endoribonuclease, found in archaea, bacteria and eukarya as well as chloroplasts and mitochondria. Its best characterised activity is the generation of mature 5'-ends of tRNAs by cleaving the 5'-leader elements of precursor-tRNAs. Cellular RNase Ps are ribonucleoproteins. Lineage: Bacteria; Pseudomonadati; Pseudomonadota; Betaproteobacteria. The record is from RNAcentral.
GGAGCAAGUUGGGCGAUCGCUGCAUUUUUAUGUAGAGGAAGGUCCGGACUCCUAGAACAAGGGUGACGGUUAACGGCCGUACGCAAUAGGUCAUCAUAGAUGUCUGAAGGCGAUGAAUAGGGCCACAGAGACGAGGAAGUAUUUGUUCGCAAAUACAGAUGUGAAACGGGCAACCUCCACCUGGAGCAACACCAAGUAGGCAUGUGCACUGUUAAUUACUGAAAGGUCUGUUCGACUGAGCAUGCGGGUAGGUGGCUGGAGCUUAUCAGUAAUGAUAAGCCAAGAUGGAUGAUCGCACAGAAUCUGAAAAUGAUUUGGACAGAAUCCGGCCUAUAGACUUGCUUCGCAC